UGGGGAAUAUUGCACAAUGGGCGCAAGCCUGAUGCAGCAACGCCGCGUGAACGAUGAAGGUCUUCGGAUCGUAAAGUUCUGUUGCAGGGGAAGAUAAUGACGGUACCCUGUGAGGAAGCCCCGGCUAACUACGUGCCAGCAGCCGCGGUAAUACGUAGGGGGCUAGCGUUAUCCGGAUUUACUGGGCGUAAAGGGUGCGUAGGUGGUCUUUCAAGUCGGUGGUUAAAGGCUACGGCUCAACCGUAGUUAGCCUCCGAAACUGGAAGACUUGAGUGCAGGAGAGGAAAGUGGAAUUACCAGUGUAGCGGUGAAAUGCGUAGAGAUUAGGAGGAACACCGGUGGCGAAAGCGGCUUUUUGGCCUGCAACUGACACUGAGGCGCGAAAGCGUGGGGAGCAAACAGG
Molecule: ribosomal RNA, 403 nt
Filed under: Verrucomicrobiota bacterium
Lineage: Bacteria; Pseudomonadati; Verrucomicrobiota
Description: Verrucomicrobia bacterium partial 16S ribosomal RNA
Rfam family: Bacterial small subunit ribosomal RNA
Source: RNAcentral